Molecule: ribosomal RNA, 2913 nt
Organism: Clostridium sp. DL-VIII
Lineage: Bacteria; Bacillati; Bacillota; Clostridia; Eubacteriales; Clostridiaceae
Rfam family: Bacterial large subunit ribosomal RNA
Source: Rfam
GGUCAAGCUACAAAGGGCGCAUGGUGAAUGCCUUGGCAUCAGGAGCCGAUGAAGGACGCGAUAAGCUGCGAUAAGCUUCGGGUAGACGCACAUAGUCAGAGAUCCGAAGAUUUCCGAAUGAGGAAACUCACAUGGGAAACCCCAUGUAUCAUAAAGUGAAUACAUAGCUUUAUGAAGGUAAACCCAGGGAACUGAAACAUCUAAGUACCUGGAGGAAGAGAAAGAAAAAUCGAUUUUCUUAGUAGCGGCGAGCGAAAAGGAAAGAGCCCAAACCAGAGAUUUAUCUCUGGGGUUGCGGACAGAACAUAACGUGAAAUUAUAGUUAAUUGAACACAACUGGAAAGUUGGACCGUAGGAGGUAAUAGUCCUGUAAAUGAAAACUAUAAUGAUCAGUUCUGCACCAGAGUACCACGAGACACGUGAAACCUUGUGGGAAGCAGGGAGGACCACCUCCCAAGGCUAAAUACUACCUGAUGACCGAUAGUGAAGCAGUACCGUGAGGGAAAGGUGAAAAGAACCCCGGGAGGGGAGUGAAAUAGAACCUGAAACCAUGUGCCUACAACCGAUCAAAGCACCUUAUGUGUGUGAUGAUGUGCUUUUUGUAGAACGAGCCAACGAGUUACGGUAUGUAGCGAGGUUAAGUACUUAAGGUACGGAGCCGAAGGGAAACCGAGUCUUAAUAGGGCGACUAGUUGCAUGCUGUAGACCCGAAACCGGGUGACCUAUCCAUGGCCAGGUUGAAGCGAGGGUAAAACCUCGUGGAGGACCGAACCACGUUGCUGUUGAAAAAGCAUGGGAUGAGCUGUGGAUAGCGGAGAAAUUCCAAUCGAACUCGGAUAUAGCUGGUUCUCCUCGAAAUAGCUUUAGGGCUAGCGUCGGAAAAUGUGAGUAGUGGAGGUAGAGCACUGAAUAGGCUAGGGGGCAUAGCGCUUACCGAACCUUAUCAAACUCCGAAUGCCAUAUACUAUCAGUCCGGCAGUCAGACUGUGAAAGAUAAGUUCCAUGGUCAAAAGGGAAACAGCCCAGAUCGUCAGCUAAGGUCCCAAAGUGUAAGUUAAGUGGAAAAGGAUGUGGGAUUUCUAAGACAACUAGGAUGUUGGCUUAGAAGCAGCCACUCAUUAAAAGAGUGCGUAAUAGCUCACUAGUCAAGAGAUCCUGCGCCGAAAAUGUCCGGGGCUCAAACUUACCACCGAAGCUACGGGUUCACAAUUUAUUGUGAGCGGUAGAGGAGCGUCGUAAUCGGGCUGAAGUCGUACCGAAAGGAGCGGUGGACUGAUUACGAGUGAGAAUGUUGGCAUUAGUAGCGAGAUGUAAGUGAGAAUCUUACAGGCCGAAUAUCUAAGGUUUCCUGAGUAAAGUUUGUCUUCUCAGGGUUAGUCGGGACCUAAGGCGAGGCCGAGAGGCGUAGCCGAUGGACAAUUGGUUGAUAUUCCAAUACCACUAUCAUCGUUAAUAUCGAGGGUGUGACGAAGAAGGAUAGGAUGUGCUAGCUAUUGGAUGCUAGUCUAAGCGUUUAGGGAGUUGGGAUUGGCAAAUCCGUUCCAACAAUUCUGAGGCGUGAUGGGGAAGGUUCCACGGAACCGAAGUAUCUGAUUCCAUGCUUCCAAGAAAAGCAUCUAGAGAGAGAAGUAGUGCCCGUACCGCAAACCGACACAGGUAGAUGAGGAGAGAAUCCUAAGGCCGACGGAAGAAUUGCAGUUAAGGAACUAGGCAAAUUGACCCCGUAACUUCGGAAUAAGGGGUGCCUACGGAAACGUAGGUCGCAGAGAAUAGGCACAAGCAACUGUUUAACAAAAACACAGGUCUCUGCUAAAGCGAAAGCUGAUGUAUAGGGGCUGACGCCUGCCCGGUGCUGGAAGGUUAAGGGGAAUACUUAGCGCAAGCGAAGGUAUGAACUUAAGCCCCAGUAAACGGCGGCCGUAACUAUAACGGUCCUAAGGUAGCGAAAUUCCUUGUCAGGUAAGUUCUGACCCGCACGAAUGGCGUAAUGACUUGUGCACUGUCUCAACUGCAAAUCCGGCGAAGUUGUAGUGCGAGUGAAGAUGCUCGCUACCCGCGAUUGGACGGAAAGACCCCGUAGAGCUUUACUGUAGCUUAGCAUUGAAUUUCGGUAUUGUCUGUACAGGAUAGGUGGGAGACUGGGAUACCAGGGCGUCAGCUUUGGAGGAGUCGUUGUUGGGAUACCACCCUGAUAGUAUUGAAGUUCUAACUGGAUGCCAUGAAACUGGUGACAGGACAUUGUUAGGUGGGCAGUUUGACUGGGGCGGUCGCCUCCUAAAAUGUAACGGAGGCGCCCAAAAGGUUCCCUCAGAACGGUCGGAAAAUCGUUCGAAGAGUGCAAAGGCAGAAGGGAGCCUGACUGCGACACUUACAAGUGGAGCAGGGACGAAAGUCGGGCUUAGUGAUCCGGUGGUACCUCGUGGGAGGGCCAUCGCUCAACGGAUAAAAGCUACCUCGGGGAUAACAGGCUGAUCUCCCCCAAGAGUUCACAUCGACGGGGAGGUUUGGCACCUCGAUGUCGGCUCGUCGCAUCCUGGGGCUGAAGUAGGUCCCAAGGGUUGGGCUGUUCGCCCCAUUAAAGCGGCACGCGAGCUGGGUUCAGAACGUCGUGAGACAGUUCGGUCCCUAUCCGUCGCGGGCGUAGGAAAUUUGAGAGGAGCUGUCCUUAGUACGAGAGGACCGGGAUGGACUGACCUAUGGUGUACCAGUUGUUUCGCCAGAAGCAUAGCUGGGUAGCUAAGUCGGGAAGGGAUAAACGCUGAAAGCAUCUAAGUGUGAAGCCCACCUCAAGAUGAGAUUUCCCAUAGCAUAAGCUAGUAAGACCCCUUGAAGACUACAAGGUUGAUAGGUCAGAGGUGUAAGUAUGGUAACAUAUUUAGCUGACUGAUACUAAUAGGUCGAGGGCUUGACCAA